This 261-nucleotide unclassified non-coding RNA is filed under the name Hevea brasiliensis (rubber tree). The record is from RNAcentral. Lineage: Eukaryota; Viridiplantae; Streptophyta; Magnoliopsida; Malpighiales; Euphorbiaceae.
UGGAGAAAAUCCCAGGGUUGAUGUAAGUACAAUGUAGCUAUUGUUUGCUAUCUUCCUGUUAAAAUUGACAUAAUGAAGCAAUAUAAAAAAUGGUGUUCUCAAUAAGAGGGACAUUUAAGGUUCAAGGAUGGCACCAUAGAGGUGCUUUGGCAUAAACAACUUGAUCUUCUAAAUAUUGAAUUUAUUCUAGUGUAUGAUUUUGCUUUUUCCUGAAGUUUUCUGAUUGCAUUUGGAAAACAAAAGUUUAAGAGGAGACAUGGG